This 1025-nucleotide long non-coding RNA is filed under the name Mus spicilegus (steppe mouse). RNAcentral describes it as "lncRNA (ENSMSIG00000005534.1)". Lineage: Eukaryota; Metazoa; Chordata; Mammalia; Rodentia; Muridae. The record is from RNAcentral.
AAAUGCUGAGGCCAAGGCCUGGCCAAACUACCUUUUGCUUCCCGGGCUUGUCCACAGCUGGAGAGGCAGAGCCCAGGCUGUGUCUGUCACUCUCGGUGACAAGGCUGCACUGUGUGUGCCUGGGACUGCAAGGCCAUGGGAUCUCCCCUUUGUCCCUGCUUCAACCCCCAGCCCCAGGCCCUAAGCACAAGUGCGUCAGAGGCGUGUUUUCUUCUGAACCCAUCUGGGACAAGGUCAUCGGAGGGGAGGUUCCCUGUGCACAAGUUCAGUGCUCCUCGACCAGGAACUCGGCCAAAGGGCACAGGGUAAAACUCACCCACCCCCUAGCAGCCUUCCCACCCAGACACAUGGGAAAAUGUCCCGUUAGCCCUUCCAGUCAUGCGAAUGAGGCCACGAUUGAUUCAAAGGCAGUGGGCAAGGAGGAGGCCGCAUGGAGCAGUCAGAAAGAACCAGCCCUUUGUGCUGCAGCAGGGUCCUUGGGGAUGACAGAGACUUACAAAGAUGUGGUGACUGGCUUAUACCCACAUAGCCAAAGGUUCCUUCUGGGAAACCAACCAGAGGUCCUCCUGCAGGUGAAGCUCAUCCUGCUACCAUCUCACGCCUGCGAGGUGUGUGCACAUGUGCACCUGUACGGUUGGUGAAUCUCUGUGUAAUUUUUCUAGAGCCCCUUACAGAACGUUUUAACCAUUCCCCCAGUUCCCUUCCUCCCCCUUCUCUUCUCUCUUGGGGCUGUCUUGGCUUACAAUUCAGUUUCUUGACAGAGGGUAAGAGGCAGUGGUGCUAUCGGCACAGCUUCAGGACCCCAGGCUUCUGAAAACCCAGUGGCUGUUUACAAGUGAGUCCUGCCGGGGAAGGAGGGAAGUGGGUCUGCAGUUCACACUAGACACAGAUGCAGUCCUGGUACCAACAUGACUUCCUGAUGAGCCUAAAAAAUUGUUCUCUAAAGGCAAAGUGAAGAAAGCAGGUGGGUUGGGGGAACCUGUGUUCUGACUUUGACUUGUUUUUUUUCCAGUUGUAUGACCUUG